Molecule: long non-coding RNA, 319 nt
Filed under: Nicotiana benthamiana
Lineage: Eukaryota; Viridiplantae; Streptophyta; Magnoliopsida; Solanales; Solanaceae
Description: long non-coding RNA (NBEN_LNC003574)
Source: RNAcentral
UCACCACUCCCCUUUCUCUCAAUUCUCUCCACCUAUCCCUAGUUCUAACGUGCUAUCACCGGCGUAAACCUUCUCCUUAUAAAGCUCUAUGGCUUCUCCGGCCAGUCUUGGCCUUCUAUGUGCCAUGGCUCUUUGAUUUCGUAAAAUCUUGAGACAAUCUCAAGGUAACCCCAACGGUUCUGGUUGAAUCUUUGCUCAGUAUCCUGUCUCAGGCCAUUUUCUCGACUGUGAGUAAGAGAUUUCUCUUUAUUUUAUAACAAAUCUAUGGUUUCUAAGCCUAUUAUAUCAUCUUUGCUAUUUUUCUAAAAAACUCUAGUCA